Long non-coding RNA from Oncorhynchus nerka (sockeye salmon), 1441 nucleotides. RefSeq lists it as uncharacterized. Lineage: Eukaryota; Metazoa; Chordata; Actinopteri; Salmoniformes; Salmonidae. The transcript is spliced from 2 exons. The record is from RefSeq and is a predicted model, not a curated record.
CAGUCAACGGUUCCAGUCAUUAGAGAGUUCCAGAAAUAAUAAUUAGUUCAACAGCAGUGGUGGCCAUUAAGAUUUGAUUAAUGCGUCACUGCUGACAUAUGCUUGUCACCGACACUUUAAUGUCGUCCAUAAUGACGAUUUAUUUCUCUCUCGGCAGGGCAGCAGAGCGGACAAAGACAGGAUGCCACAAAAAAAAAUAGACACGGCUAUCUGUUGGCUUGCUGUAGAAAUCAGGAUGCACUCGACUAAAAGUCGUAUUUCGGGAGUGAGGUGAGAGCCUUCUCUUGGGACCUGAGCCCUAGGACCAUGCCCCAGGACUAUCUGACAUGAUGACUCCUUGCUGUCCCCAGUCCACCUGGCCAUGCUGCUGCUCCAGUUUCAACUGGCCUGGGCCCUAGGACCAUGUCCCAGGACUACCUGACAUGAUGACUCCUUGCUGUCCCCAGUCCACCUGGCCAUGCUGCUGCUCCAGUUUCAACUGUUCUGCCUUACUAUUAUUCAACCAUGCUGGUCAUUUAUGAACAUUUGAACAUCUUGGCCACGUUCUGUUAUAAUCUCCACCCGGCACAGCCAGAAGAGGACUGGCCACCCCACAUAUGCUCUCUCUAAUUCUCUCUUUCUUUCUCUCUCUCUCGGAGAACCUGAGCCCUAGGACCGUGCCCCAGGACUACCUGACAUGAUGACUCCUUGCUGUCCCCAGUCCACCUGACUGUGCUGCUGCUCCAGUUUCAACUGUUCUGCCUUAUUAUUAUUCGACCAUGCUGGUCAUUUAUGAACAUUUGAACAUCUUGGUCAUGUUCUGUUAUAAUCUCUACCCGGCACAGCCAGAAGAGGACUGGCCACCCCACAUAGCCUGGUUCCUCUCUAGGUUUCUUCCUAGGUUUUGGCCUUUCUAGGGAGUUUUUCCUAGCCACCGUGCUUUUACACCUGCAUUGUUUGCUGUUUGGGGUUUUAGGCUGGGUUUCUGUACAGCACUUUGAGAUAUCAGCUGAUGUACGAAGGGCUAUAUAAAUAAAUUUGAUUUUAAGUGUCAGUGCCUAUCUGAUGAAGUAAGAUGAGGGGGUAAAACCAUAGCUCUGGUGACAUUAAUCACACGUGGGGAUGAUGAUGACAAGUGUAAUUUCAGACAAAAGAGACGACCGUUAAUAACUGUAGUCAGUGGAAGAAAUAAAUCACUUAGUUCCUACUGAAAGGCAGGCAGAAUCAUUAGCCUGUAUAUCAUACGUAAUUUAACUCAUUAAGUUCAUGAAUAAUAAACAAGGCAACAUGCAGAGAAUUUUUUAUACUUCUCAUCGAAGGUAUGAUGCUGUGUAUGUUCAAGUAAUGUGUGUGUAUAGUGUAUUUAUUGGUGAAUGUCUAUAUUAUAAAACAUUUUUGGGCAGAUUUAAAAAAUACAUUUUGCCCCCAAAAAAGUGAGCACCUGGGAGAGGCCAAAGAUUCA